CCGAAAUUGAUCGUAAUAAAGAAACUAUCUCAAGAGAAGUUACUUUACAGCUUGCACAGUAAUCUACAGCUUUCUUUCCACACUUUCUGGAGUCCAACGACAGAUUGGGUCUCGGCAGGUUCCCGAAUUAAGUCUCAGGAUUGGGUCUUGGCGUGCUCCCGAAUCAAGAUCAUCUGAUGCCGUUUGAAACUCAAAAAGCAGUAUUUGCGCUAACAUUUGUGCAUUCUUGCGUAUUUGAUGAUGUUCCGGACCUUUGCUUCAGG
Conger conger (European conger) is the source of this 263-nucleotide long non-coding RNA. RefSeq lists it as uncharacterized. The record is from RefSeq and is a predicted model, not a curated record. The transcript has 3 exons. Lineage: Eukaryota; Metazoa; Chordata; Actinopteri; Anguilliformes; Congridae.